AAGGCACAGUGUGGGCAAGGGAGCUGAGGACUGGCUACCAGUCCCAUCUCUAUGGGGAUGGGGAGUCUAGUAAACAGUCUUGGAGGAUGUAGGUUGGGAGGAACGGGGAGGGUGGCAAUGGAGGGCUGAACUGCUGCAGCUCUGCUUUGUCAGUCAGGCCGGGGCUGGCUCGCCACCUCUCAGGUUGGAGCUCACUGUGUUCACAAGUAUUCGGAUGGCUUUACAAAACACGGAGGCACGAGGCGCUAGGACCGCAGGGCAGAGAAACUGCUGGUUUAAGAGGGCAGCAAGAGGAAGACAGUCGAAAGUGUGCAUGCACGCAUCGUACACCAUCUCUGAAUACUUGAUCCGACCUACCCAAAGAGGACAAAGUCAGGGGAUGAACAGUGCCAUACUGAAGAGACUAACCAGGUGAAGCCAGCUCGGAAGCCACUGGUUACAGGGAAUCCAGGGCUCUUAUCCUCUGAGACAUCUCUCGAGUUCCUGCAUUUUAUAUUUUGAUGUGGUUGUCAAGUUGGAACUAUGGUACAAGGAAAUACUCCUAAGUGGGCAGAUUGUAGGUGUGCCACAAUUCUCUAAGAAGAAAAAGACAUGAAGUAACAGCUUUCAAGUCCGUGGGACUCUGACUACGAUGAGCCUCUCACUGUUACACUUCACCGGACGGAAAGGGAAGAGUCUUCUGGAUGAACCUGGCCUGAUCACACCAACCAUUAAAGAGCACAGGGUUCCUCCAGCUCUGACUGCAGAAGUCAG
This 753-nucleotide long non-coding RNA is filed under the name Mus musculus (house mouse). RNAcentral describes it as "predicted gene, 49417". The record is from RNAcentral. Lineage: Eukaryota; Metazoa; Chordata; Mammalia; Rodentia; Muridae.